This 459-nucleotide ribosomal RNA is filed under the name uncultured bacterium. RNAcentral describes it as "partial 16S ribosomal RNA". It matches the Rfam family "Bacterial small subunit ribosomal RNA", at positions 338 to 795 of the family's 1533-position model. The record is from RNAcentral.
CCUACGGGAGGCAGCAGUGAGAAAUAUUGGUCAAUGGACGAGAGCCUGAACCAGCCAAGUCGCGUGAGGGAAGACGGUCCUAUGGAUUGUAAACCUCUUUUGCCGGGGAGCAAAAAGCGGUACGUGUACCGCACCGAGAGUACACGGAGAAAAAGCAUCGGCUAACUCCGUGCCAGCAGCCGCGGUAAUACGGAGGAUGCGAGCGUUAUCGGGAUGUAUUGGGUUAAAGGAGUGCGCAGGCGGCAAGUUAAGUCAGCGGUAAAAUUUCGGGGAUAAACCCCGACGAGCCGUUGAAACUGGCUUGCUAGAGAGGGCGAGAAGUAUGCGGAAUGCGUGGUGUAGCGGUGAAAUGCAUAGAUAUCACGCAGAACUCCGAUUGCGAAGGCAGCAUACCGGCGCCCAACUGACGCUCAGGCACGAAAGCGUGGGUAUCGAACAGGAUUAGAUACCCCGGUAGUC